GAUCCUGGCUCAGAUUGAACGCUGGCGGCAUGCCUUACACAUGCAAGUCGAACGGCAGCAUGGAGAGCUUGCUCUCUGAUGGCGAGUGGCGAACGGGUGAGUAAUACAUCGGAACGUGUCCGUUUGUGGGGGACAACCGUCCGAAAGGAUGGCUAAUACCGCAUAAGACCUGAGGGUGAAAGCCGGGGACCGCAAGGCCCGGCGCAGACGGAGCGGCCGACGAUUGAUUAGCUAGUUGGGG
RNAcentral lists this ribosomal RNA (241 nucleotides) under uncultured bacterium. RNAcentral's name for it is "partial 16S ribosomal RNA". It matches the Rfam family "Bacterial small subunit ribosomal RNA", at positions 15 to 254 of the family's 1533-position model. The record is from RNAcentral.